Molecule: non-coding RNA, 37 nt
Filed under: Equus caballus (horse)
Lineage: Eukaryota; Metazoa; Chordata; Mammalia; Perissodactyla; Equidae
Description: XIST RNA A repeat
Rfam family: XIST RNA A repeat
Source: Rfam by way of RNAcentral
UUGCCCAUCGGGGCUGCGGAUACCUGAUCUUCUUAUU